UUAUUUUGAAAACAAACAUACUAAAACUGAAAGGAAAAAAAGAUUAGCAUGGUCUCUGUACAAGAAUGAGAUAUAAAUUUGUGUAACAUUUCAGUUUUUU
Molecule: small nuclear RNA, 100 nt
Organism: Sarcophilus harrisii (Tasmanian devil)
Lineage: Eukaryota; Metazoa; Chordata; Mammalia; Dasyuromorphia; Dasyuridae
Source: Ensembl